AUGCUUGCUUUGGCAGCACGUAUACCAAAAUUGGAAUGACACAGAAGAUUAGCACGGCCCCUGCGCAAGGAUGACAAUAGUUUUUCUGAGUUGGUAGGGAGGCGGCUCCCCUUAUCU
RNAcentral lists this small nuclear RNA (117 nucleotides) under Meriones unguiculatus (Mongolian gerbil). Lineage: Eukaryota; Metazoa; Chordata; Mammalia; Rodentia; Muridae. The record is from RNAcentral.